UCAAGUAAUUAAGGGCGUAGGGUGGAUGCCUUGGCACCAGGAGGCGAUGAAGGACGUGGCCAGCUGCGAUAAGCCACGGUUAGCCGUAAGCAGGCGUUGACCCGUGGAUUUCCGAAUGGAUAAAUCCACUUGAGUGAACCUCAAGUACCGUAUACUGAAUUGAGUAGGUAUACGGGGCCAGACCCGGCGAACUGAAACAUCUAAGUAGCCGGAGGAAGAGAAAGAAAACUCGAUUUCCUCAGUAGCGGCGAGCGAACGGGAAAGAGCCCAAACCUGUAGGACGUGAUAGUCUGUCCACGUUGUUCUACAGGGGUUGAGGGUAUCACAUAGGUAACCGGACAGGGUUACCAAGGCGACGGCAAGGUUAGGCGAAGCAUACUGGAACGUAUCACCACAGCGGGUGAGAGUCCCUUAGCCGAAAACCUAGUAUCGGGCCUAAGUGAUUACCCGAGUACCACGGACACGAGAAACCCGGUGGGAAACCGGGAGGACCACCUCCCAAGGCUAAAUACUACCUGGUGACCGAUAGUGAACAAGUACCGUGAGGGAAAGGUGAAAAGUACCCCGGAAGGGGAGUGAAAUAGUAUCUGAAACCCUACGCCUACAAGCAGUGGAAGCCCGAGUUAAUAACCUAGUUGCUAACCGGGUGACCGCGUACUUUUUGUAGAACGGACCGGCGAGUUACUGUUUGUAGCAAGGUUAAGGGCCAAAGGUCCGAAGCCGCAGGGAAACCGAGUCUUAACCGGGCGACAUAGUUACAAGUAGUAGACCCGAAACCGAGUGACCUACCCAUGGCCAGGGUGAAGCUUGGGUAAAACCGAGUGGAGGCCCGCACCCACCGAUGUUGAAAAAUCGGGGGAUGAGCUGUGGGUAGAGGUGAAAUGCUAAUCGAACUCGGAGAUAUCUGGUUCUCCCCGAAAUAGCUUUAGGGCUAGCCUUAAGGUUUAACUAGUGGAGGUAGAGCACUGAUUGGGCUAGGGGCCUUACCCGGCUACCGAACCCAGUCAAACUCCGAAUGCCACUACGUACACCUUAGGAGUCAGACUAUGUGAGAUAAGUUUCAUAGUCGAGAGGGAAACAGCCCAGACCAUCAGCUAAGGUCCCCAAGUGCAGGCUAAGUGGUGAAGGAUGUGGGAUUGCCGAGACAACCAGGAUGUUGGCUUAGAAGCAGCCAUCAUUUAAAGAGUGCGUAACAGCUCACUGGUCAAGUGGUCCUGCGCCGAGAAUGUACGGGGCUAGAAGCCUGUCACCGAAGCUAUGGCUUUACUUUAUAAGUAAGGGGUAGGGGAGCAUUGUUAGUUGGCAGAAGCCGUACCAGUGAUGGACGGUGGACGACUAAGAAGCGAGAAUGCCGGUAUGAGUAACGAGAGAUGGGUGAGAACCCCAUCCGCCGAAAGCCCAAGGUUUCCUGAGGAAGGUUUGUCCGCUCAGGGUUAGUCGGGGCCUAAGCCGAGGCCGAAAGGCGUAGGCGAUGGACAACUGGUUGAGAUUCCAGUACCACCGAAAAGCGUUAUUAGAGAAGUGGUGACGCAGUAGGGCAUGCAAAGCCCGCAGUUGGUUUAGCGGGUCCAAAGGGUAAGGUAGCAGUCGUAGGCAAAUCCGCGGCUGUGUUGAUCUGAGCCCUGAUGGGUAGCGAAACAUAUAAGUAGCGAAGUUGCAGCACUCACACUGCCAGGAAAAGCCACUAUCGAGUUUUUAGGUGCCCGUACCGUAAACCGACACAGGUAGGCAGGGAGAGGAUCCCUAGGCGACCGGGAGAACCCUUGUUAAGGAACUCGGCAAAAUAGCCCCGUAACUUCGGGAGAAGGGGUGCCCUUUGGGGUUAGUAGCCUCGAAGGGCCGCAGUGAAUAGGCCCAAGCGACUGUUUAGCAAAAACACAGGUCUCUGCUAAGUCGAAAGACGACGUAUAGGGGCUGACGCCUGCCCGGUGCUGGAAGGUUAAGGGGAAGAGUUAGCCGCAAGGCGAAGCUUAGAACCUAAGCCCCAGUAAACGGCGGCCGUAACUAUAACGGUCCUAAGGUAGCGAAAUUCCUUGUCGGGUAAGUUCCGACCCGCACGAAAGGCGCAACGACUUGGGCACUGUCUCAACAAGGGACCCGGUGAAAUUGCAUUACCUGUGAAGAUGCAGGUUACCCGCGACUAGACGGAAAGACCCCGUGGAGCUUUACUGCAGCCUGAUAUUGGAUUUUGGUACCGGAUGUACAGGAUAGGUGGGAGACAUAGAAGCAUGGCCGCUAGGCUGUGUGGAGUCAUCCGUGGGAUACCACCCUUUCGGUGCUGAAAUUCUAACCACUAACCGUUAUCCGGUUUUGGGACAGUGUCAGGUGGGCAGUUUGACUGGGGCGGUCGCCUCCUAAAGAGUAACGGAGGCGCCCAAAGGUUCCCUCAGCGCGGUUGGAAAUCGCGCGUAUAGAGUGCAAAGGCAUAAGGGAGCUUGACUGCGAGAGCUACAACUCGAGCAGGUACGAAAGUAGGGCUUAGUGAUCCGGCGGUACCGAGUGGAAGGGCCGUCGCUCAACGGAUAAAAGCUACCCCGGGGAUAACAGGCUUAUCUCCCCCAAGAGUCCACAUCGACGGGAGGUUUGGCACCUCGAUGUCGGCUCAUCGCAUCCUGGGGCUGUAGUAGGUCCCAAGGGUUGGGCUGUUCGCCCAUUAAAGCGGUACGUGAGCUGGGUUCAGAACGUCGUGAGACAGUUCGGUCCCUAUCUGUCGCGGGCGUGGAGACUUGAGUGGAUCUGUCCCUAGUACGAGAGGACCGGGAUGGACGGACCGCUGGUGUAUCAGUUGUUCUGCCAAGAGCAUAGCUGAGUAGCCACGUCCGGACGGGAUAAGC
Molecule: ribosomal RNA, 2834 nt
Filed under: anaerobic digester metagenome
Description: bacterial LSU rRNA
Rfam family: Bacterial large subunit ribosomal RNA
Source: RNAcentral